This 253-nucleotide ribosomal RNA is filed under the name uncultured bacterium. RNAcentral's name for it is "partial 16S ribosomal RNA". It matches the Rfam family "Bacterial small subunit ribosomal RNA", at positions 524 to 776 of the family's 1533-position model. The record is from RNAcentral.
UACGAAGGGUGCAAGCGUUACUCGGAAUUACUGGGCGUAAAGCGUGCGUAGGCGGUUUGUUAAGUCUGUCGUGAAAGCCCCGGGCUCAACCUGGGAAUGGCGAUGGAUACUGGCGAGCUAGAGUACGGUAGAGGAGAGUGGAAUUCCCGGUGUAGCAGUGAAAUGCGUAGAGAUGCGGAGGAACACCGAUGGCGAAGGCAGCCCCCUGGGCUAGCACUGACGCUCAGGCACGAAAGCGUGGGGAGCAAACAGG